AAAGUAGGAGAAACAGUCGCGCUUUAGAUGAAAAUUUAGAGUGAGGAAAGUCCGAGCUCCACAGAAUCAGGGCGCCCGGUAACACCGGGGCGGAGUGAUCCGAUGGAAAGUGCCGCAGAAACUAUACCGCCCGUCUUUGGCGGGUAAGGGUGAAAACGUGGUGUAAGAGACCACGGCUGUCGGCAGUAAUGCAGGCAGUGGGUAAACCCCGCCCGGAGCAAGGCCAAAUAGGGGAACAGGGGUCGAUUCGCCCCGCUAUGAUUCCCGGGUGGGCCGCAAAGAAUGAUCGGGCAACCGAUCAUCAAGAUAAAUGACUGUUGGUCUCGCCUAUGGCGGGAUUACAGAACUCGGCUUACCUCCUGCUGACAAG
RNAcentral lists this RNase P RNA (370 nucleotides) under Candidatus Zixiibacteriota bacterium. Its description in RNAcentral is "RNase P RNA component class A". It matches the Rfam family "Bacterial RNase P class A". From Rfam's summary of the family: Ribonuclease P (RNase P) is a ubiquitous endoribonuclease, found in archaea, bacteria and eukarya as well as chloroplasts and mitochondria. Its best characterised activity is the generation of mature 5'-ends of tRNAs by cleaving the 5'-leader elements of precursor-tRNAs. Cellular RNase Ps are ribonucleoproteins. The record is from RNAcentral. Lineage: Bacteria; Pseudomonadati; Candidatus Zixiibacteriota.